This is a long non-coding RNA of Misgurnus anguillicaudatus (oriental weatherfish), 299 nucleotides long. RefSeq lists it as uncharacterized. NCBI's taxonomy places the organism in Eukaryota, Metazoa, Chordata, Actinopteri, Cypriniformes, Cobitidae. The record is from RefSeq and is a predicted model, not a curated record.
CUGCGCAGCGACUCAUUAUUAAGUGAAACCCACCUAGAAACUGUUGCCUGGAAUAUCUGCGUUGGGAAUACAGGGUCAUGUGAUGCUGGUUCUGGUCACCUCAGCUUUGAUUUGAACUGCCAGGUGAUGCUAGGAGUGGACCACUUUAAGACGGCUCAAGAAGUCUAGCUUGCUCACCAGCCUCCUGUGCUGCUGAAGAGCCUGGUCGUACACCAUCAUAGGGUCUGACCUUUCCACCGCCGGCCCUUGAGAACCUGGCCCCUGGGUUUGCCUGUGGUCUCCAGGUCCAGAUUGAGAGA